Molecule: long non-coding RNA, 537 nt
Organism: Daktulosphaira vitifoliae (grape phylloxera)
Lineage: Eukaryota; Metazoa; Arthropoda; Insecta; Hemiptera; Phylloxeridae
Exons: 3
Source: RefSeq, a predicted model, not a curated record
AAUAAAAUUGUUUUACGUGUUUUCUGGCGAGAUAAUGUUGUUGAGUUAAAUUUGUUUAGUUCCUCAGAAUAUGAAACAGAAGAUGAUUUGUCUGGUUCAUCAUAUUCUUCAAAAACACGAGGGCUUAUAACUUUUAUGAAUCCUAAAUUACUUUCUGCAUUAGAUCAAUGCAAGAUAUCUGACCGCGAUGCUGUGCAUUUAAUUAUUUCUACUGCUGAAGCAUUAGGUAAUAACGUAUCAAAGUUAAUAAUCAACCGAUCAACUAUUCGACGGGAAAGAUUAUUUUUUAGUGAGAGAAAGGCAUUAUAAAUAGAGCUAAAGUUGAUCGAUUGCCAAUCUUGGUAUCAUUUGAGGGAGUAAGUCAAUUACUUGGGUUCCCAAAAAUUGAGAGUGAUUCUGGCGAGAAUCAGGUAAAUGCAAUUUUUGAUUUAUUACAAGUUUGGGAUGUAAAAAAUAAAAUACAGGCCUUGUGUUGUGACACAACAGCUUCUAAUACAGGUCGCUUAAAUGACGCUUGUAUAUUGCUUAAACAACUCU